RNAcentral lists this ribosomal RNA (440 nucleotides) under uncultured bacterium. Its description in RNAcentral is "partial 16S ribosomal RNA". It matches the Rfam family "Bacterial small subunit ribosomal RNA", at positions 338 to 795 of the family's 1533-position model. The record is from RNAcentral.
CCUACGGGUGGCAGCAGUAAGGGAUAUUCGUCAAUGGGGGCAACCCUGAACCAGCAACGCCGCGUGAGUGAAGACGGUUUUCGGAUUGUAAACCUCUGUCCUCUGUGAAGAUGAUGACGGUAGCAGAGGAGGAAGCUCCUGCUAACUACGUGCCAGCAGCCGCGGUCAUACGUAGGGAGCGAGCGUUGUCCGGAUUUACUGGGGGUAAAGGGUGCGUAGGCGGCUUGGCAAGUCAGUAGUGAAAUCCGUGGGCUUAACCGAGGAACUGCUAUUGAAACUGGCGAGCUUGAGUGAAGUAGAGGGAGGUGGAAUUCCCGGUGUAGCGGUGAAAUGCGUAGAGAUCGGGAGGAACACCAGUGGCGAAGGCGGCCUACUGGGCUUUAACUGACGCUGAGGCACGAAAGCGUGGGUAGCAAACAGGAUUAGAUACCCUUGUAGUC